Molecule: ribosomal RNA, 379 nt
Filed under: uncultured eukaryote
Lineage: Eukaryota
Description: partial 18S ribosomal RNA
Rfam family: Eukaryotic small subunit ribosomal RNA
Source: RNAcentral
CAAUAGCGUAUAUUUAAGUUGUUGCAGUUAAAAAGCUCGUAGUUGGAUUUUGGGUCGGGGGCACCGGUCCGCCGUUCCGGUGUGCACUGGUGGCCCCUUCCUUUCUGCCGGGGACGUGCGUCGCACUUAAUUGGGUGGCGUUCGGAGUCGGCGUUGUUACUUUGAAAAAAUUAGAGUGUUCAAAGCAAGCCAUCGCUCUGAAUACAUUAGCAUGGAAUAACAUGAUAGGACUCCGGUCUUAUUUUGUUGGUUUCCGAGACUGGAGUAAUGAUUAAGAGGGACAGUCGGGGGCAUCCGUAUUUCAUUGUCAGAGGUGAAAUUCUUGGAUUUAUGAAAGACGAACUUCUGCGAAAGCAUUUGCCGAGGAUGUUUUCAUUAA